CCCAGCCCCUAAGCGGCGGGAAUAAGAGCAGCUGCCUGGUGCUGGGAGCUCAGAGGCAUUGCCCAGCUCCCAGCUGUUGCUGCUUCCCCAGACACCUGCGCUGCAGCUUCUGACUGCACCUCUGCUCCCAACCUCUUACCACCAGAGAGGCAUGAUGGGUUUCUGGAAGAUCACCUCCUUCCUGGUUUUCAGCAUCCUGGCCCUGUACCAUAUGGGCCUCUUCGACGUUGAGGACUCUGGCACUGAAGAGGAAACAAUAUACCUGCUGGACGAUGAGGUUGAGAUAAUGACUACUGAACUGCCAAAGGAGAAAUAAGUCUCCAGGUCAUCAUGUGGCUGAACUCUACUUUCAAUUUAAAAUAAUUACAAUUCGAAAAACUAUGAACACAAGAAAAUUAAAUUCAUCCUUCUUCGUAGAGAAGCCACCCUUUCUCUUUAAAAUAAAUAAAAUCUAAAGGCAGAAUAAAAACUAUUGCAAUGA
This is a long non-coding RNA of Suncus etruscus (white-toothed pygmy shrew), 481 nucleotides long. RefSeq lists it as uncharacterized. NCBI's taxonomy places the organism in Eukaryota, Metazoa, Chordata, Mammalia, Eulipotyphla, Soricidae. The record is from RefSeq and is a predicted model, not a curated record. The transcript is spliced from 4 exons.